Molecule: ribosomal RNA, 333 nt
Filed under: uncultured Lactobacillus sp.
Lineage: Bacteria; Bacillati; Bacillota; Bacilli; Lactobacillales; Lactobacillaceae
Description: bacterial SSU rRNA
Rfam family: Bacterial small subunit ribosomal RNA
Source: RNAcentral
UGGUUCUGCUAUCACUCUUGGGAUGGACCUGCGGUGCAUUAGCUAGUUGGUAGGGUAACGGCCUACCAAGGCGAUGAUGCAUAGCCGAGUUGAGAGACUGAUCGGCCACAUUGGGACUGAGACACGGCCCAAACUCCUACGGGAGGCAGCAGUAGGGAAAUCUUCCACAAUGGACGCAAGUCUGAUGGAGCAACGCCGCGUGAGUGAAGAAGGGGUUUCGGCUCGUAAAGCUCUGUUGUUGGUGAAGAAGGACAGGGGUAGUAACUGACCUUUGUUUGACGGUAAUCAAUUAGAAAGUCACGGCUAACUACGUGCCCAGCAGCCGCGGGUAAU